RNAcentral lists this ribosomal RNA (466 nucleotides) under uncultured bacterium. RNAcentral describes it as "partial 16S ribosomal RNA". It matches the Rfam family "Bacterial small subunit ribosomal RNA", at positions 28 to 507 of the family's 1533-position model. The record is from RNAcentral.
GAUGAACGCUGGCGGCGUGCUUAACACAUGCAAGUCGAACGAUGAAGCCCAGCUUGCUGGGUGGAUUAGUGGCGAACGGGUGAGUAACACGUGAGUAACCUGCCCUUCACUCUGGGAUAAGCCUGGGAAACUGGGUCUAAUACCGGAUAGGAGCGUCCACCGCAUGGUGGGUGUUGGAAAGAUUUAUCGGUUUUGGAUGGACUCGCGGCCUAUCAGCUUGUUGGUGUGGUAAUGGCUCACCAAGGCGACGACGGGUAGCCGGCCUGAGAGGGUGACCGGCCACACUGGGACUGAGACACGGCCCAGACUCCUACGGGAGGCAGCAGUGGGGAAUAUUGCACAAUGGGCGCAAGCCUGAUGCAGCGACGCCGCGUGAGGGAUGACGGCCUUCGGGUUGUAAACCUCUUUCAGUAGGGAAGAAGCGAAAGUGACGGUACCUGCAGAAGAAGCACCGGCUAACUACGUG